Molecule: ribosomal RNA, 468 nt
Filed under: uncultured bacterium
Lineage: Bacteria
Description: bacterial SSU rRNA
Rfam family: Bacterial small subunit ribosomal RNA
Source: RNAcentral
GUCCAGACUCCUACGGGAGGCAGCAGUGAGGAAUAUUGGUCAAUGGGCUUACGCCUGAACCAGCCAAGUCGCGUGAGGGAAGACUGCCCUAUGGGUUGUAAACCUCUUUUGUCAGGGAGCAAUUGGCGCUACGUGUAGCGUUAUCGAGAGUACCUGAAGAAAAAGCAUCGGCUAACUCCGUGCCAGCAGCCGCGGUAAUACGGAGGAUGCGAGCGUUAUCCGGAUUUACUGGGUGUAAAGGGAGCGUAGGCGGCAAGGUAAGCCAGAAGUGAAAGCCCGCGGCUCAACUGCGGGACUGCUUUUGGAACUAUCUAGCUAGAUUGCAGGAGAGGUAAGUGGAAUUCCUAGUGUAGCGGUGAAAUGCGUAGAUAUUAGGAGGAACACCAGUGGCGAAGGCGGCCUGCUGGACGAUGACUGACGUUGAGGCUCGAAAGCGUGGGGAGCAAACAGGAUUAGAUACCCCCGUAC